GUACUACAAUGCCAGUUAAGAAGUUGAUUUGUUACAUCGGUGUUAACUGCAUUGGGCCAUGGCAAGCUCUUUGCCCACUGGACAGAGGAGUCCAAGGCUUUUUUGAGUGGUGAAUGGCAGCCUGUAUUCCGCCUACGCAAAAGAAAGCUUGAAGAGACAGCGCAAGUACAGGAUGAAUGUGAGGAUGCAUUAACACCGGGAAAAGCAGAAGUAUCUGUCAUUGCACACAUGAAAACAGCCAGUCAGUGGUACAUUGACAAUCAACAACAACUCAUUGGUCUGGUCCAGCUGCCCUAGAUACUGAGCAUGAUAGAGGAAGAUGUUGGGAAGGUUCUGCAGGAGAACCAAGCAAUGAAUGCUGAGGAAGACUUCAGUUUGAACAAAGGUGAUGUCUCUCCCUCUUUCUCAUGCUGCUAUACUCAGAUCUGCCGGAGCCUAGACGAAUAUUGCACUCGAUCAUUUUGCUUGCACUGCCUCUGGUUUCCUCAACUCUGGCUAAUACACAAUUAUUCUUACUUCCUCCCUCACCCCUUCUGGGGUGUGCUCCAUGGAGCACAAUGUCGUUGAAGAGUUUAUGCCUCUGCGGCCUGCAAGACAACUACCUCCACCUCCGGCAACUACCCUCCAACCUGCCUGCCCUUGGCUCAACACGAUGCCUCGCCAUCCAUCCUGCGGCUGUGUGUCUAUUAAUCCUGCCAUCGUGCAUCAAGCACCACGUGCCU
Molecule: non-coding RNA, 722 nt
Organism: Paramormyrops kingsleyae
Lineage: Eukaryota; Metazoa; Chordata; Actinopteri; Osteoglossiformes; Mormyridae
Source: RefSeq, a predicted model, not a curated record